Molecule: transfer RNA, 87 nt
Filed under: Clostridia bacterium
Lineage: Bacteria; Bacillati; Bacillota; Clostridia
Also listed under: 1 other name
Description: tRNA-Leu
Rfam family: tRNA
About the family: Transfer RNA (tRNA) molecules are approximately 80 nucleotides in length. Their secondary structure includes four short double-helical elements and three loops (D, anti-codon, and T loops).
Source: RNAcentral
GGGGAUAUGGCGGAACUGGCAGACGCAACAGACUCAAAAUCUGUCGAUCGAGAGAUUGUAAGGGUUCGAUUCCCUUUAUCCCCACCA